This 392-nucleotide ribosomal RNA is filed under the name Protolophus rossi. RNAcentral describes it as "12S ribosomal RNA". It matches the Rfam family "Microsporidia small subunit ribosomal RNA", at positions 760 to 1311 of the family's 1311-position model. Lineage: Eukaryota; Metazoa; Arthropoda; Arachnida; Opiliones; Protolophidae. The record is from RNAcentral.
GGAUUAUAUUUAAAAUUAAAGAAUUUGGCGGUGUUUUAUCUCAAUAGAGGAACUUGUCCUUUAAUCGAUAGUCCGCGUUAUAUCUAACCCUAUUUUAAGUUUAUAUACCGUUGUUGUUAGAUUACUUGUUUACAAAUCUUAAGUUUUCUUGAUAAAAAAUAUUUUGUGACUUCAAAUCAAGGUGUAGUAUAUGUUAGGGGCUGAGAUGAGUUACCCUUAGUUAUAAGCGGAGCACUAUUUGAAAAUUUUUGUUAAGUUGGAUUUAUUAGUAAAUUUUUAUUAAUAAAAUUGAUUGAAAUGAGAUCUAGAACAUGUACAUAUCGCCCGUCACUCCGGUUUUAAUAUUGGAUAAGUCGUAACAAAGUAGAGGUAAGGGAACUUGCUUCUAGAUG